RNAcentral lists this ribosomal RNA (371 nucleotides) under uncultured organism. Its description in RNAcentral is "partial 16S ribosomal RNA". It matches the Rfam family "Bacterial small subunit ribosomal RNA", at positions 527 to 896 of the family's 1533-position model. The record is from RNAcentral.
GUAGGUAGCAAGCGUUGUCCGGAAUUAUUGGGCGUAAAGCGCGCGCAGGCGGUUCUUUAAGUCUGAUGUGAAAGCCCACGGCUCAACCGUGGAGGGUCAUUGGAAACUGGAGAACUUGAGUACAGAAGAGGAAAGCGGAAUUCCACGUGUAGCGGUGAAAUGCGCAGAGAUGUGGAGGAACACCAGUGGCGAAGGCGGCUUUCUGGUCUGUAACUGACGCUGAGGCGCGAAAGCGUGGGGGAGCAAACAGGAUUAGAUACCCUGGUAGUCCACGCCGUAAACGAUGAGUGCUAAGUGUUAGGGGGUUUCCGCCCCUUAGUGCUGCAGCUAACGCAUUAAGCACUCCGCCUGGGAGUACGGCCGCAAGGCUG